CAGAUUACACAGUAACUGAAGUGUCUGAAAUUUAUUUCAAUUAAGAUGCUACAAAACAAGGUGGAGAAGUCUUAAAUUGUUAGAAACAGCAUUUAAUGAAACUUUGUUUUUUAGUAGUUUGCUCAAGGAUUCAGAGUAUUUUAUCCUACAUCUGUUUUCUUAAUGGUCAUUGUUUUAAGAACAACUCAAGCACCUAGAAAGUGUUCAUCCCUGCUAUCCAUUCUGCCAGGCUGCUGCAUCAAUUUUGUAUAAGAGGUACAUCAUCAAGUUUGCCUUCCAUACAGAAAGAGGACCUUCUGACAUUCAGGUGGAAUAGAUUAAAAAAAAAAUAAAUGUCACAGUAACUACAAAUUUAAACUACCAAGCUACCAGAUAUGAUAAAAUAUUUUGGCAGUGGCCCUUGGUGGUUUCUACAGGGAUAGCUGCUGUUCAUGCAGCACUUUUUGGAUGCAGAAGCUGAAUGACCUGCACAGCUCAGUGUGUGGACUUUCAGGAGCUUCUCUACAAUACGGAAGCAGGAAAGCCUUCAAGAGAAAGAAAUUGUGUGAAUGCAUCUGUGAAGCAAAUUUCUUGUAUUGUGUACAACACUGAGGUGCAAGUCUUCUCUUAAAUUACAAGCUGUUUCUCCAUGCAUUGGCUGCUUCAUAAACAUGCUUAAUGCUACACUGUUCCCAAGGGGUACCUGACUGACCACUCUCUGGUCCUUAGCUGUGCAAUAUGUGCUCAAUUCCAGCAAUCUAUGAAGAUGAGACCUGAGUGGCAUGAUCCACUGGAGUGUCUUGAUUUGUUUUGCGAGAAAUUCAGAUGUAUGAACUGGGAGAAGAUGAUGGACUUUUCUAAUAACUCUGUUGUUCUGAUCAGGGCUCUGGAGACGUUACAUCUCUGAUGUCCGUGUUGUUUGGAGAACUUCAUAACUGAAGGGACUCAAUCAGGUACAGGUAUCAGCACAGUUGUGGAUGUACUGAAAUCACAUCAGGGCUUAUAUUCCACCUUGUGUACUCUGAGCUCCUGCAAUUUAAAUGAUACCUAGCUGGUUGAAGCUGGCUCAGACGGACCUGACCCUACUGGCUGCAGUCAUGGCAUCACACACCUUAUCAGAGUGCCUAGGCUUGAAGACCUAGAAUAACGGCUUGACACUAUCAAAGUCAAUGAGAUAUUGCCAUUAGUUCUAUAUGUCUUCAUAGCCAGAAAUCUUUCUAAUUUCACCCCUAUUAAUGCUAAUGUCAAUGCAAAAAACUUGGAGAAACUGCCUGUUUGCAUCACUACAUUAAAUCUUUUGCAGUAUUUGUUUCUUCAGUACUGACUUUACUGGUGUUCUUUAAGUUAUGCCCACUGUUCAAAGUGUCAUACUGGAAUACAGUUGGAGAUUCUAAUAAAGUAACUCAGAAGUAUUUA
Centrocercus urophasianus (Greater sage-grouse) is the source of this 1395-nucleotide long non-coding RNA. RefSeq lists it as uncharacterized. NCBI's taxonomy places the organism in Eukaryota, Metazoa, Chordata, Aves, Galliformes, Phasianidae. The transcript has 4 exons. The record is from RefSeq and is a predicted model, not a curated record.